GUUCUUAUAGUUGAAUAACAACGAUGGUUUUUCAAGCCGUUGGUUUUGGUUAGAGUCCAAAUUAGAAUA
Molecule: transfer RNA, 69 nt
Filed under: Chelus fimbriata (Mata Mata)
Lineage: Eukaryota; Metazoa; Chordata; Testudines; Chelidae
Description: tRNA-Glu
Rfam family: tRNA
About the family: Transfer RNA (tRNA) molecules are approximately 80 nucleotides in length. Their secondary structure includes four short double-helical elements and three loops (D, anti-codon, and T loops).
Source: RNAcentral